This 1095-nucleotide long non-coding RNA is filed under the name Parus major (Great Tit). RNAcentral's name for it is "lncRNA (ENSPMJG00000008217.1)". Lineage: Eukaryota; Metazoa; Chordata; Aves; Passeriformes; Paridae. The record is from RNAcentral.
GAAGGACAAAUAAAACACCAAUUGCAAGUCGGUGCAACAAACGGGACAAGCGCACUCAGGCUCCGGGAGAGUUUAGAUACAAUUAGCCCCAAUCCCACCGUCAGCGGAGCAGAGCAGUUCACCUGCAGAGGUGGCUGGAAAUCGCCUGUCUUCAGCAGCAGCCUGGGAGUGCAGGAGGGAAGGGAGAGAAAAACACUGAAGAGCCAAACACACAGCUCUGUUAUUUCAUUUCCUGCUCGUUCAGCAACUUAUGGGCAGUAUCUAAAGGAACCUGCACUUGGCUGGAAGAUUGCUGGUGAGGCUUCUGAGUUCAAGAAGUGGUUGGAGGACAGCACUUCAGAUCGGGCCUGCCACUCCCAGCUCCGACACGGAACCUCAGCACCGCACCAGGCUCCGCGCGGCGCGGGCGGCGGAGUCCUGUCCUGCGGCACCCUCCUGUGCUCGCACCACUGCCAGGAGUUCCUCUCAUCCUUCCCCGCGCCACUCCCAGCACCCAAACCAGCUCAAUGCACAGAAGCAAAUGGGCAGAGCACCCACGUACAGGGACUCCCGACGGCUACUGGGGUCCUCUCAGGCGACGGCACCAACUCGCUGCCACGUUCUCCAGUGGCCGGGACCAGGCAGGUGCCAGCACAGCCCGGCUCUCCUGCAGCCAACUUUCAGGGAAGCGGCUGUUUGAAAACCUCCUGCCGUCUUUGUUUGGUUGGGGCAGAGCCAGCAAGGGCUGCCGGGAAGGUCACCCAAGAGGACACCAAUGUACAGGGAGGGCGGAGCCCUUCUCGUAACCCUUUCGGGGCAGCCGCGCUGCAGGGCCGCCAGGAACCGCGUCACCUUAGGGCACAGACUCGUCUGUCCCGUCCCGGAGCACAGCCCAGGCGUGGCUGGUCACACCCGUGCCAGAGAAACCUCACAGAAUGCAGCGUUGCCAUCCCUAGAGGUCCUUUCCAGCCCUGGAAGCACCAGCUCCAUCCCUGCGUGAGGAUGGUGGCUGCGAUGUGCCAGCCGGGCUGCCAGUGUGGGGCAGAGGCCACAGCGGAGCCAUUCGCUCUGAAACUGAAGCAAACACGUGCUUUGAGCUGUUCUCAUCUGUGCUAG